GGCCGGGUAGAGUAUACUUUAUUGAUGGUACAUAAUAAGGUCAGGCUCCCCAAGCCCCUACCCUUUUCCAGCAGUCUGCAAUGGAAACUGUGGAGGUUGGGAGAUUCUCCAUGUGUUGGGCAAGGAGUUACAGCAAGGAUCCCCCAGCAGCUGAGGGCCUCUCUCUUCCUCUUGCUCUUGCUGGGGCUGGUGGUCCAGAGGGCUCUUACUCUGUGGAGGCCAUGUGGACCAUAAAGCCCACCACCUGGUUGCUGUAGCCAAAUUCAUUGUGAUACCAGGAAAUAAGCUUGACAACGUGGUCACUGAGAGCAAUGCCAGCCCCAGCAUCGAAGGUGGAAGAGUGGGUGUCACGUUAGAGUCUCAGGAGAUAAUAACCUGGUCCUCAGUGUAGCCCAGGAUGCCCUUGAGGGGACCGUCUGAUGCCUGCUUUACCAUCUUGGUGAUGCCAUCAUAUCUGGCAGCUUUCUCCAGGCAGC
Molecule: long non-coding RNA, 476 nt
Filed under: Lynx pardinus (Iberian lynx)
Lineage: Eukaryota; Metazoa; Chordata; Mammalia; Carnivora; Felidae
Source: RNAcentral